GGAGGUAGUAUUUAUAUAAAAUAAAAACUUGGCAAAGAUAGCUCCGACGGAAAGCUUUGAAGAUUUAUCAAUACCAACAUCAAAGAGAAUCUCUCCAAGUAUGGGAUUGACGACUUGCCUGAUGAGUUGCUUAUUGCCAUACUUUGCUGUUUGAACUUCCACGAGGCAGCAAAGACCUGUAUUCUCUCGCAGCGCUGGAGAUACUUAUGGGAACAUACAAUUUGCAGAAUUGAAUUAUAUAACGACGACACAUUUGAAAUUGAGGCAGCAGAAAAGUUUGUUGAAAUUUCAUGAGGGUGCAUUUAUUGAGCGGUUAAUUUGCUGAGAACAUUGGCGACUCUCAAAUCUUUCCGAUUUGUUAAUGUCCACAUAAUACAGGACGUUAUUGAAUUCCGAUUUCUUGAGCUCGUUCAUUAUCUAAGUCUAGGUCCAUAGAAAUAUCAAAUUGUGAAGCUUUGAAGACUAUGAAGAUUCAUGCUGCAGAGCUUGUGUCUUUUACAUACAUUGGACGUACUAUCAAAGUGCCUUUCAAGAAAAGUUCCCCUCUUCUCUCAGCUAACUGUUGGAGGAGAUUAUGUGAUUCUUUUAUUUUUGAUGCUCACAAGCACUCUAGCUAUUGUCGAAAUCUUGAAGAAGCUUAAACUGGAAGUGUCAUAUGAGUUAUCUAGGAAAUGCUGGGUCAUUCCCAAUGUAUACUCUCAACUUUGCCACUGAAAGAGUUGGAAUUGGACAUCGCCACAGAAGAGGGUGAUGGCCUUUGCUUCUUCUCAUUCUUGACUAAGUGUUCUCCUCAGUUAUCAAGUUUAACCAUCCAGGUAACCGUUCUUGUUGCAUAUGCUUCUCCUUUAUGCCAUGCCACUUUCUUGCCUUCUAUAUGUUAUUUGACAAAAAGUCUUAACAAUGUCAACCUAACAAGUUCUUUGAAAUGAUGUGCUGAUUGUUUGAACUCUUUUAAACUAAUCUAGCACUGGAGCAGUGUAAGUAAAUCUUAAGAAGUUCUAAGAUGGCACAAGUUACCAUAAAAUCUGAAGAAGUUCUGAGAUGGUACAAUUUACGGCAAUAUAAUGGCACCAUUAAAUUAAAGCAUCAUCCUUAUACAUGGAAUGCGAUACAUUUUUUAAUAAAGAAUACAUGUAUUGGAAAUCGAUAAAGCCUAAAACAACAGAAGAAAGAUUAUUGUACAAUAAUGAGAUUGAUGAAGGAAAUUUAAAAUGUUUAUGCCAAUAUUAAAUUA
This is a long non-coding RNA of Nicotiana attenuata, 1234 nucleotides long. RefSeq lists it as uncharacterized. The transcript has 3 exons. The record is from RefSeq and is a predicted model, not a curated record. Lineage: Eukaryota; Viridiplantae; Streptophyta; Magnoliopsida; Solanales; Solanaceae.